UCUUACCACUAGGGGCGCUCGUUAGGGCUGAGAUAGAGUAUAGACUUUAGUCCCUUCUACCUGAUCUAGAUAAUACUAGCGUAGGGAAGUGGCUUUUGAUUAGU
Molecule: non-coding RNA, 104 nt
Filed under: Halobacteroides halobius
Lineage: Bacteria; Bacillati; Bacillota; Clostridia; Halanaerobiales; Halobacteroidaceae
Also listed under: 1 other name
Description: TPP sequence
Rfam family: TPP riboswitch aptamer (THI element)
About the family: Vitamin B(1) in its active form thiamin pyrophosphate (TPP) is an essential coenzyme that is synthesised by coupling of pyrimidine and thiazole moieties in bacteria.
Source: RNAcentral